GACGAACGCUGGCGGCGUGCUUAACACAUGCAAGUCGAACGGUGAAGGGGUCUGCUUUUGUGGGCCCUGGAUGAGUGGCGAACGGGUGAGUAACACGUGAGUAACCUGCCCCCUUCUUCUGGAUAACCGCAUGAAAGUGUGGCUAAUACGGGAUAUUCUGGGUCUGUCGCAUGAUGGGUCUGGGAAAGAUUGCGCCUUUGGGUGUUUUUGGUGGGGGAUGGGCUCGCGGCCUAUCAGCUUGUUGGUGGGGUGAUGGCCUACCAAGGCGGUGACGGGUAGCCGGCCUGGGGGGGUGGCCGGUCCAACUGGGACGGAGACACGCCCCAGACCCCAACGGGAGGGAGCAGUGGGGAAUAUGGCACAUUGGGCGGAAGCCUGAUGCAGCGACGCGGGGUGAGGGAUGGGGGCCUUGGGGUUGUAACCCUUUUUGGCGAGUGAAGCGGGCCUGCUCCUUGUGGGGGGGUUGACGGUAGCGGGAUAAGAAGCGCCGGCUAACUACGG
This 501-nucleotide ribosomal RNA is filed under the name uncultured bacterium. RNAcentral's name for it is "partial 16S ribosomal RNA". It matches the Rfam family "Bacterial small subunit ribosomal RNA", at positions 28 to 506 of the family's 1533-position model. The record is from RNAcentral.